UACGGAGGGUGCAAACGUUGCUCGGAAUCAUUGGGCGUAAAGCGCACGUAGGCGGUCUUUUAAGUUGGGCGUGAAAUCCCUCGGCUUAACCAAGGAAGUGCACUCAAAACUGAAAGACUUGAAUACUGGAGAGGGUCGCAGAAUUCUCGGUGUAGAGGUGAAAUUCGUAGAUAUCGGGAGGAAUACCAGUGGCGAAGGCGGCGACCUGGUCAGAUAUUGACGCUGAGGUGCGAAAGCGUGGGGAGCAAACAGG
This 253-nucleotide ribosomal RNA is filed under the name uncultured bacterium. RNAcentral describes it as "partial 16S ribosomal RNA". It matches the Rfam family "Bacterial small subunit ribosomal RNA", at positions 524 to 776 of the family's 1533-position model. The record is from RNAcentral.